AGUGAACGCUGGCGGUAGGCCUAACACAUGCAAGUCGAACGGCAGCACAGUAAGAGCUUGCUCUUACGGGUGGCGAGUGGCGGAUGGGUGAGGAAUACAUCGGAAUCUACUUUUUCGUGGGGGAUAACGUAGGGAAACUUACGCUAAUACCGCAUACGACCUACGGGUGAAAGCAGGGGAUCUUCGGACCUUGCGCGAUUGAAUGAGCUGAUGUCGGAUUAGCUAGUUGACGGGGUAAAGGCCCACCAAGGCGACGAUCCGUAGCUGGUCUGAGAGGAUGAUCGGCCACACUGGAACUGAGACACGGUCCAGACUCCUACGGGAGGCAGCAGUGGGGAAUAUUGGACAAUGGGCGCAAGCCUGAUCCAGCCAUACCGCGUGAGUGAAGAAGGCCUUCGGGUUGUAAAGCCCUUUUGUUGGGAAAGAAAAGCAGCAGGUUAAUACCCCGCUGUUCUGACGGUACCCAAAGAAUAAGCACCGGCUAACUUCGUG
RNAcentral lists this ribosomal RNA (492 nucleotides) under uncultured bacterium. RNAcentral's name for it is "partial 16S ribosomal RNA". It matches the Rfam family "Bacterial small subunit ribosomal RNA", at positions 29 to 507 of the family's 1533-position model. The record is from RNAcentral.